Molecule: ribosomal RNA, 460 nt
Filed under: uncultured bacterium
Lineage: Bacteria
Description: partial 16S ribosomal RNA
Rfam family: Bacterial small subunit ribosomal RNA
Source: RNAcentral
CCUACGGGCGGCAGCAGUGAGGAAUAUUGGUCAAUGGGCGGGAGCCUGAACCAGCCAAGUCGCGUGAGGGAAGACGGUCCUAUGGAUCGUAAACCUCUUUAGGCGGGGAGCAAUGCCGGGCACGCGUGCCCGGAGGGAGAGUACCCGCAGAAUAAGCAUCGGCUAACUCCGUGCCAGCAGCCGCGUUAAUACGGAGGAUGCGAGCGUUAGCCGGAUUUAUUGGGUUUAAAGGGUGCGUAGGCGGAUUUUUAAGUCAGCGGUAAAAUCUCCGGGCUCAACCCGGGCCGGCCGUUGAAACUGGGGAUCUGGAGUGGGAGAGAAGUAUGCGGAAUGCGUGGUGUAGCGGUGAAAUGCAUAGAUAUCGCGCAGAACUCCGAUUGCGAAGGCAGCAUGCCGGCGCCCGACUGACGCUGAGGCACGAAAGCGUGGGGAUCGAACAGGAUUAGAUACCCCAGUAGUC